Molecule: ribosomal RNA, 476 nt
Filed under: uncultured organism
Description: partial 16S ribosomal RNA
Rfam family: Bacterial small subunit ribosomal RNA
Source: RNAcentral
GUACACUCCUGCGGGAGGCAGCAGUGGGGAAUAUUGCACAAUGGGCGCAAGCCUGAUGCAGCCAUGCCGCGUGUAUGAAGAAGGCCUUCGGGUUGUAAAGUACUUUCAGCGGGGAGGAAGGCGAUAAGGUUAAUAACCUUGUUGAUUGACGUUACCCGCAGAAGAAGCACCGGCUAACUCCGUGCCAGCAGCCGCGGUAAUACGGAGGGUGCAAGCGUUAAUCGGAAUUACUGGGCGUAAAGCGCACGCAGGCGGUCUGUCAAGUCGGAUGUGAAAUCCCCGGGCUCAACCUGGGAACUGCAUUCGAAACUGGCAGGCUAGAGUCUUGUAGAGGGGGGUAGAAUUCCAGGUGUAGCGGUGAAAUGCGUAGAGAUCUGGAGGAAUACCGGUGGCGAAGGCGGCCCCCUGGACAAAGACUGACGCUCAGGUGCGAAAGCGUGGGGAGCAAACAGGAUUAGAAACCCCGGUAGUCCCAU